This 105-nucleotide microRNA precursor is filed under the name Ovis aries (sheep). Its description in RNAcentral is "miRNA (ENSOARG00000024275.1)". Lineage: Eukaryota; Metazoa; Chordata; Mammalia; Artiodactyla; Bovidae. The record is from RNAcentral.
GAGCAACACAGUCUUCCAGAUACUUUGUCAAUAGCAACUUCUAAUGAGUCCAGAAUUUCCAGUGAUAAAACUGAUGGAAAAUGUGUUCAAGAAGGUAUCUGCAUU